UACGGAGGGUGCGAGCGUUGUUCGGAAUCACUGGGCGUAAAGCGCGUGUAGGCGGCCUGCUAAGUCUGAUGUGAAAGCCCGAGGCUCACCCUCGGAAGUGCAUUGGAAACUGGCAGACUGGAGUCCCGGAGAGGAGGGUGGAAUUCCAAGUGUAGCGGUGAAAUGCGUAGAGAUUUGGAGGAACACCAGUGGCGAAGGCGACUUUCUGGUCUGUAACUGACACUGAGGCGCGAAAGCGUGGGGAGCGAACAGG
This 253-nucleotide ribosomal RNA is filed under the name uncultured bacterium. RNAcentral describes it as "partial 16S ribosomal RNA". It matches the Rfam family "Bacterial small subunit ribosomal RNA", at positions 524 to 776 of the family's 1533-position model. The record is from RNAcentral.